UACGGAGGGUGCAAACGUUGCUCGGAAUCAUUGGGCGUAAAGCGCACGUAGGCGGUCCGGCAAGUCGGGUGUGAAAGCCCUCGGCUUAACCGAGGAAGUGCAUUCGAAACUACCGGACUUGAAUACUGGAGAGGGUCGCGGAAUUCCCGGUGUAGAGGUGAAAUUCGUAGAUAUCAGGAAGAACACCAAUGGCGAAGGCAGCUCUCUGGGACGGUACUGACGCUGAGACGCGAAAGCGUGGGGAGCGAACAGG
RNAcentral lists this ribosomal RNA (253 nucleotides) under uncultured bacterium. RNAcentral's name for it is "partial 16S ribosomal RNA". It matches the Rfam family "Bacterial small subunit ribosomal RNA", at positions 524 to 776 of the family's 1533-position model. The record is from RNAcentral.